This 63-nucleotide transfer RNA is filed under the name Aquatica leii. Its description in RNAcentral is "tRNA-Leu". RNAcentral also lists the same sequence under 1 other name. Lineage: Eukaryota; Metazoa; Arthropoda; Insecta; Coleoptera; Lampyridae. The record is from RNAcentral.
GUUACUUUGGCAGAAUAGUGUAAUAGAUUUAGGAUCUUUAAAUGUAUUUUUAUACAGGUAAUA